CCCUUAGAUGUUCUGGGCCGCACGCGUGCUACACUGAGUGGAUCAGCGGGUCAGGUUGCGCGAAAGUGUUUCCUAAUCUUGAAAUCCGCUCGUGAUGGGGAUUGACGGUUGCAAUUUUCCGUCAUGAACGAGGAAUACCUUGUAAGCGCGGGUCAACAUCCCGCGCUGAAUACGUCCCUGCCCUUUGUACACACCGCCCGUCGCUCCUACCGAUUGAGUGGUCCGGUGAGGCUUUGGGAUCUGAGCGGAAAGAGCGUUUCGCUGUUUCUGCCCGGAAAACUCAGUCGAACCUUAUCAUUUAGAGGAAGGAGAAGUCGUAACA
RNAcentral lists this ribosomal RNA (322 nucleotides) under uncultured eukaryote. RNAcentral's name for it is "partial 18S ribosomal RNA". It matches the Rfam family "Eukaryotic small subunit ribosomal RNA", at positions 1470 to 1796 of the family's 1831-position model. The record is from RNAcentral.